RNAcentral lists this long non-coding RNA (2190 nucleotides) under Marmota monax (woodchuck). The record is from RNAcentral. Lineage: Eukaryota; Metazoa; Chordata; Mammalia; Rodentia; Sciuridae.
AGAAAGGAUAUCUAGACCUCUGGGUAAGGAUGUGUGAAAGAGGACUAUGGAAGCAUAUUCUCUGGAAUUCAGGUGAUAUUUAUGUUUUCCUGGCUGCUUUUUGCCUUGCUAGCAUUUUACGUGAAGUUGACAGCUGGUAUUUUGUUCUGGCUUGCUCAGAACCUGUUAGUACCUCUUUGGCUGGCCUGGCUGUUAUUGGCUACAAUCCCUGGGGUCUCCACCAUGCCCUUCAGCUUAUGAUGUGGUCCAUAGAUCCACCUCAGCCUCUGCAAUAAGACUACUUAUUGCCACUCUGGAACCAAUGGCUGAUCAGCUGGAUCCAACAGGAUUGCUUGUGGAAGCUAAACUUAAGAAUCUCCUCCACACUGGACUUCCAAACUGAUGUGGCCAUACAUCGUGCUGUUGUGAUUAUUCUCCACAUGCCUCAGUUGGGAGCAGACACUAUGGAACCCCUCCUGCCCUCAGUGUCACACUAAUGUGUCUUAUCCUAUAUGGGCCAAAGCCUGGAAUGCAGACCUUUGGGACACACAUGGCUAAUAGUCUUGUUUGCCUGUCUCCCCAACUUUCUUUCUUUUAUUAAAAAAUGGAGAGGAAUGGUCUUUGUUUUUACAAGCAGAGUCAUGUCUUCCCCUUGUCUUUGAGCAGAAAGUCUCAUUGGAGUUCACUCUUGGGCCCAGGGCUCUGUAUCUCCACACUGAAGGCCAUCUCUUGGAGUGGGCUGCUGGAUGUGGGUACAAUAGUGUUUGGAAAGAUCCUCUUUCAGGACAGUAGAAUAUUGUCUUCUGAAUAUUUCUAUAUUGUAUUUCAGAGGCUGAAUGUUAGUACACUUUUUCUCUUUGCAUUAUUUUUGUAAAAUAUUCUAUUUUUUCCCCAAAUGGACUCCUUAUGCUGAGCUAUUCAAAAAAGACAAAAGAGAGAAGCAGGUAUAAUUUUUCAAAAUAUUUUCUACUGAACUUACAAUGUAAUCAUAGGGAUGUAGUUAGGAAAGAAUAAGAAAGCCUGGGGCAAAUUAAGCAUUGAGCACCUGAAAAAUAUUUUUGACUAUAGGAUUCUGGUUACUAAAGCUGUAAGUCUAAGGUUUGGGGCAGAUGUUCACUAUCUACACAUUAGCUGUGUGAAGUAGAGUCAUUAUUUAACUACCAUUCAUUUGUAAAGCAGAGUUGUUAAAAUUAAAUGAGAGUGUUGUAAAACAUAAGAGCUUCAUAAAAUUUUACCAUCACUGUUAUUAAUGUCAGUACUUUUAACACAGUAUUCAGGAGUCCAUUACCAUGAUUUGAAACAUGUAAAAAGCCCAGGUGUUCUGGUUUUCUGAUUUAGAAUGCUUCUGUUCAAGUUAUACAGGUUCAGUGGAAACAUCUUUGGACUAGCGAUAAAAAGAUGUAGGGAGAAGCCAAUGCACUAAGGAAUUUAGGAAGUAAUUAAAGACAGCAUUAAUAAACAAGUGAGUGGCCUGGCUGAAGAUACCACCCUGGACAAAGGUUGCCCAAACCUUGUCAACUUUAAUGUUUUUACUAUUGGACAUUAAUUUAAAGUUCCAGAGUUGGUGACUAUUUUUGGCUAGGUGGGAUUAAAGUAAAGAGUAAAAUAACUUUUAUAAAUAUGAGAAAUAUUUUUAAAAUCUUAAUUCAGUAGAAUUAACAAAUGAUUAGUUAGUAAUCUUUAAGUUAAAGCUUUCAGUUUUGAAAAUUCCAAGUUUUGAAGGUGCCAAAAUAUUAAAGAUUACUCUUGGUGCACUGGAUUUUGAGUGAUGUUUUUGCCUUUUAUUCCCCUAAGAAACCUCCACUUUUAAAAAACUGAUGUGUUACUUUUAUUAUCAGAAAAGGGAAAAUAUGAUAAAAAGGAAAGCAAAAGGACAAAGAUAUUAUGGAACUAAUUUUUAUGUCUUAAAACCAUAAACAUUCUGGUUAUCACCUUAGGUUUGACUCUUAGUAGGCAUGUUUCCUAUUUCACCAUUGCAUUUGAACUUGUAUACAUGUGCAUUAAAAAAAAAAGAUUCAAAUGAAAAUCAAACUUUAUGUUAAUCUCAUGGCAGAAUGGCGGUUGAUAAAGAUUAAUUUGGGAACAUUGUUGUGUGUAUAUUGCUGCAUUUUGUCCAUCUGAUGGACUUACAUUGUCUGACAAGGAUGCUACCUUUGGGUUUGAGUAAAAAUGCAAAGUUUCUUUGUGUUUUGUGUUGUCUACUUUUUAUAU